CAACACCCUCCAUCUCCAUCAAGUCAUCCAUAUUCUUUUAUGAACACCCAAGUGGCUUCUUGGUCUUAAGUAGGAGACUGCAAAAGACCCCCCUCCUCCCAUAACUUCUCUUGGCCCAGCAGGAAAAGCCCUACAGUCCCUAUCCAUGCUGUGUGACUUUGGGUGUGUGCCUGCCCUACCUGGGCCCUGGUCUUUCUCAUAAAGGAAUCACAGUCUGUUUCCAAUUGUACUCGUCUGCCAGUCUAGGAAAUGAGAAAACACGCAGACUCGGCCAUUAUUAUCACUCUCCCAUCUUCUCACAGCCCACUAUGCUCCAGCCACUCUGAACUCCUGCCACUCCCCAGAUAUACCUCGUGAAAGGAGGAUGUGGCAGAACGACAGUGGGCUGGUUCUGAGCCUCGGCCUCAAGAGGACAAACAUGUCCACUCUCUUGGACCCCUGCCACUGCUGCCAUGAGGACAGCCUGGGCUGACCCACUGGAGGAUGAAGGAACUGCAGAGAGGCCCCAUCCACCCUCACCCAGGCCCGCCUAGACCUGACAGCCCCAGUCAACUAGGGUGACCCACUGCUUCAGUUUGCCCAGGAUUGAGGGGUCACCAGGGAUGUAGGUCUUUCAGUGCUAUAACUGGGGCAGUUCCAGGCAAACCAGGACGGUUGAUCACCCUACAGUUGACUCACCAGCUGAUUCAGGUGCAGGAAUAAGCCCAC
This is a long non-coding RNA of Bubalus bubalis (water buffalo), 708 nucleotides long. RefSeq lists it as uncharacterized. The record is from RefSeq and is a predicted model, not a curated record. Lineage: Eukaryota; Metazoa; Chordata; Mammalia; Artiodactyla; Bovidae. The transcript has 2 exons.